GACGAACGCUGGCGGCGUGCUUAACACAUGCAAGUCGAACGGAAAGGCCCUGCUUUUGUGGGUUGCUCGAUUGGCGAACGGGUGAGUAACACGUGAGUAACCUGCCCUUGACUUUGGGAUAACUUCAGGAAACUGGGGCUCAUACCGCAUAGGAGCUCCUGCUGCAUGGUGGGGGUUGGAACGUUUCGGCGGUUGGGGAUGGACUCGCGGCUUAUCAGCUUGUUGGUGGGGUAGUGGCUUACCAAGGCUUUGACGGGUAGCCGGCCUGAGAGGGUGACCGGCCACAUUGGGACUGAGAUACGGCCCAGACUCCUACGGGAGGCAGCAGUGGGGAAUAUUGCACAAUGGGCGGAAGCCUGAUGCAGCAACGCCGCGUGCGGGAUGACGGCCUUCGGGUUGUAAACCGCUUUCGCCUGUGACGAAGCGUGAGUGACGGUAAUGGGUAAAGAAGCACCGGCUAACUACGUG
This 468-nucleotide ribosomal RNA is filed under the name uncultured bacterium. RNAcentral's name for it is "partial 16S ribosomal RNA". It matches the Rfam family "Bacterial small subunit ribosomal RNA", at positions 28 to 507 of the family's 1533-position model. The record is from RNAcentral.